GUGAGUUCUUUCAGGCAAAGACAUUAAUCAUACUUUUAUUACUAGUACUAAAUGCACUUCUGUGACCCUAGUCUUUGGUUCAGAAAACCUUGCAGAGGGAAUUUCUAUGUCCUCUGUCAUUUAGUUGCAAUAUUCAGAAUAUUAUUUAAGAUCUGUAAAACUCAAAAGUUUCUUCAUUUGCAAAACCGGGAUAGAGUUGUGAGAAUCAAAUGAGAAUUCUUUUGAUAGGUAAAGUCCUGGGUCUGGCAUCUUGCCAUCGUUAUUAAUGAUGGCAUCAUGAGCCUACGUGUGCUAGGAUUGAGAGAGUGAUUUUGUUUUCACAGCCACCUCCUUAUCCCCAUUUACAGAUGUGGAAAGUAAGUAUCCUCGAGGUUAAAUAUCUUGCUCAGAGUAACCCGUUUAUGAGUGUUAGCAAAGCCAGAAUUGGAAACUGCCUUUUGUGCUGAUUUGACAUCACCUGGUGCUUUGUGACCUUGAGGAAGCUACUUGUCCUCAUCUGACACUGAAAAAAAUGGCCCUCAGGCCUAAACGCCUUCAGCUUUUCUCCACGCUGAACCUUAGAGCAGCUGGGAAAUAAAUGAGUGCAUGCACGAAUAAUAAAAUCAUCCUUUAUGACUUCCCUCACACUACCAUUUAAAGCCCUGCCUUCUCUUCGCCAUCAGCAUUGUCACAGCAGGGUUCUAGGUCUUCAUCCACACAGGCAUGCAGUAUGUACACUCAAGAAAAUAAAUGUGCACAUGUCUUGUUUGUUAAGCGGGGAGCCAGUAUUGUAGGGGAUCCUGUCUUAGCAUUAUCUGUUGAACUGGACUUCCUAACUGAGUAAGCUAUCAGCAGGCACAGAACCUCAGGAAUGUGGGCCGUCUGUGCCUUAUUUGGAUGAUUCAGACCAGAAGCAAAUCCAUCCAAAUUCAACAGUGUCCCAAUCUGGCUAGCCAGAGGUGUUCUGUACCAGCAAGCAGAACUGUGACUUUGGUCAUGUAGCAUAUUAUAAACAAAUGCUUUUCUCAAAAAUGUCUCUGCACAAAAGAGAAUGUAACAGGAAAAAAAAUCAGGUUAUUCAAAACUGUAAAGACAGACUACUUUGGAAGAGGGUAACUUGUCUUGUGUGUGCUCCUUGCCCAGGGCCUGGCUUGGUACUUCUGCCAUCCUGCUUCUGCUGUCAGUGCUGAGUGGAAGUGGCCCCUGCUGGGACCACCAGUGAUUUCUGCAAAUCCAGGGCUUUUUCGAGGCUGCAUCUUCUCUGACACUGCCCUCUGCCAGGUUUCUCCAAUCAGAGCUACACAUUUGGUCUUGUUUUGUUCCUUACCCGCCUGCCGUGGUCAACCUCAUCCAUUCCUGUGGCUCAGACUCUCAGGAUGCCUGCUGAAGUAUUUAGAGAUGAAGCGUUUGUCUGCAGUUUAAUUCUAAAGUUGGCAAGAACUAAAAAGUGAGCAUGUGUAUACAAAAAUACGGAUGCAUGGGACGACAGAGGGAGCAGUGAAGCAAUGUGGCAGUGUUGACAACUGGGACCCAAAGGCUGUGGGGGAGCUCACUGUGCUAUUUUUUAACUUUACAAAGGUUGAACUUUUUAAAAAUAAAAACUGGAGAAAAAAAAUCACCCCAUUAUUUAAUUGUCUGCAAUUGAUCAGCUAUGACAGGG
Molecule: long non-coding RNA, 1639 nt
Filed under: Equus caballus (horse)
Lineage: Eukaryota; Metazoa; Chordata; Mammalia; Perissodactyla; Equidae
Description: lncRNA (ENSECAG00000049942.1)
Source: RNAcentral